CAUGUAGGCGGCUCGAUAAGUCAAAUGUGAAAUCCCAUGGCUUAACCAAGGAACUGCAUUUGAAACUGCCGAGCUUGAGUGCGAAAGAGGAGAGUGGAAUUCCCGGUGUAAGGGUGAAAUCUGUAGAUAUCGGGAGGAACACCAAUAGCGAAGGCAACUCUCUGGUUCGAUACUGACGCUGAUAUGCGAAAGCUAGGGGAGCAAACA
RNAcentral lists this ribosomal RNA (207 nucleotides) under uncultured bacterium. Its description in RNAcentral is "partial 16S ribosomal RNA". It matches the Rfam family "Bacterial small subunit ribosomal RNA", at positions 568 to 774 of the family's 1533-position model. The record is from RNAcentral.